UGCUAGGGUGGAACAACUAACUGUAUAGCAUAGGGAUUGCAUAGAAGCCAUCAGAAUUAGAAAAGUUGCAGCAGUAAUUUACAAGUGUCUGCUGAGGACAGCCUCUAAUUUCAUGCAGGGAGCUGGACGAAUAAUAGCCCCGCCUACUUGUGUGAGCAUAUUGUGUUUGCAGUCAGUGAGUGAGUGGAGGUUUUGGGGAGAAAGGUGUCACGGUAAGGCUGCUUUACUUUAUUGAUCCUCCUUACUAUAGGGUAGGGCUAACAUAAGGUAAAACAAGUCUUCAAACAGGAGCUGCCACUGCUUAAAAAUAACGGACCUUUUAAAGAUCCCUUCUCUCUGGGGCAGCUGCACACAAACAUUCCUAUGUGAUCAUGUGACAUCCUUUUGACUGCCUGCAGACCGGGAGAGUGAGAGAACGACUCCUUCUGACUCGAGUGUCUGCUUGCAAUGGCUUUCCUUGUCUACCCCAUGAACAAACCAUCGGACUUCCAGCAUCUACCUGCAGAAGAACACUGGAUAAGCACCUCUACUGCAAAUGGACUAUGGUAUUGAAGCAGAGUGUCUGAGGAAGGUGGAGCUCUAAGAGGACAAAGACUGUUCUUAAAUUGAUCAGAGGCCACCCAGAGACACUUGUGCUGUUCCCAUGUCAUGCUUCACUGUGGAGAGUGUACAGAGCAGGAAACUGUCGGAAAUAUUGGGGGGUGCUAGCUAUGCAGGUUGAGAAAUAAAGAUGCAGCAUUGUUUGGGGGUAGAUAGGGGGCUGGUUGGGUCUUUGUGCAGAUAGACCAGUAGUUUGAGGAUGCUGGGAGGUAGACGGAGAGUAUUGGAAGGGCCAUACCUAUGUGCAGUGACAAAUUGUGCCCUAUUGGCCUAUGAAAUUAUAGCAGUAAAUGUGAAUACAUUUCUCUACAGUAUUCUAACAUAGAUCCGUGUUAUACCAAAGUAUUAGGCUUAUAUUGUUGUUUAAGGAUUUACUAAUUUUCUAUGUUUCUCUAUUUUAUGUUAUGCUGUUAGAAUAAAAGGGUGGUAUGUUAGCAUUACCGACGCCAUCUUGUUUUCGUUGCCAUUUUGUCUUAGACAUCCAUCUUGUCUAAGAAAGGUUUAUUAUAACCGCUUAUUAUGUAGUGAGAACGAUGUAGAUGUUAUGAAUCUUUGUAUAGCUAGAAUGGUCUUGUGAAUGUUCCUGGCGAUGCGCCUGGAAGCCCGUUAUCUCUAUAAGAUGCUUACACGGCCUUGAUUUGUGCUGGGCUAUGAGGCUCAGAUUUACUGUUAUCUGAAGUUAGGUAUUUCUGCAGAAAUGACUCCCUAACACUCCUUUUCUACCAAUUAUAUUUAUAAUGAGCUUCUUUGUUCUUGCAGAAAUACUAUGUAAGAUGAUGUAGUUAUGAACAUGUCACUGUGUUAACCCUAUAUACUGUAAUCACUGCCUAUAAAAUGUAUUGUUCAUCUUCUAAUAAACAGAACAGAUGUUAGACUGA
Molecule: long non-coding RNA, 1478 nt
Organism: Bombina bombina (fire-bellied toad)
Lineage: Eukaryota; Metazoa; Chordata; Amphibia; Anura; Bombinatoridae
Exons: 2
Source: RefSeq, a predicted model, not a curated record